AAAGUGCAUCCUUUUAGAGGUU
This 22-nucleotide microRNA is filed under the name Gorilla gorilla (western gorilla). RNAcentral describes it as "ggo-miR-519c-3p". Its record names the gene ggo-miR-519c-3p. Lineage: Eukaryota; Metazoa; Chordata; Mammalia; Primates; Hominidae. RNAcentral also lists the same sequence under 5 other names. The record is from miRBase by way of RNAcentral.